This 660-nucleotide ribosomal RNA is filed under the name uncultured Lachnospiraceae bacterium. RNAcentral describes it as "bacterial SSU rRNA". It matches the Rfam family "Bacterial small subunit ribosomal RNA", at positions 68 to 730 of the family's 1533-position model. Lineage: Bacteria; Bacillati; Bacillota; Clostridia; Lachnospirales; Lachnospiraceae. The record is from RNAcentral.
GGAAACCUUUUAUUGAAGCUUCGGCAGAUUUAGCUGGUUUUUAGUGGCGGACGGGUGAGUAACGCGUGGGUAACCUGCCUUGUACUGGGGGACAACAGUUGGAAACGACUGCUAAUACCGCAUAAGCGCACAGCUUCGCAUGAAGCAGUGUGAAAAACUCCGGUGGUACAAGAUGGACCCGCGUCUGAUUAGCUGGUUGGUGAGGUAACGGCCCACCAAGGCGACGAUCAGUAGCCGGCCUGAGAGGGUGAACGGCCACAUUGGGACUGAGACACGGCCCAAACUCCUACGGGAGGCAGCAGUGGGGAAUAUUGCACAAUGGGGGAAACCCUGAUGCAGCAACGCCGCGUGAGUGAAGAAGUAUUUCGGUAUGUAAACUUCUAUCAGCAGGGAAGAUAGUGACGGUACCUGACUAAGAAGCCCCGGCUAACUACGUGCCAGCAGCCGCGGUAAUACGUAGGGGGCAAGCGUUAUCCGGAUUUACUGGGUGUAAAGGGAGCGUAGACGGUGUGGCAAGUCUGAUGUGAAAGGCAUGGGCUCAACCUGUGGACUGCAUUGGAAACUGUCAUACUUGAGUGCCGGAGGGGUAAGCGGAAUUCCUAGUGUAGCGGUGAAAUGCGUAGAUAUUAGGAGGAACACCAGUGGCGAAGGCGGCUUACU